UGGGGAAUUUUGGACAAUGGGCGAAAGCCUGAUCCAGCAAUGCCGCGUGUGUGAAGAAGGCCUUCGGGUUGUAAAGCACUUUUGUCCGGAAAGAAAUCCUUGGCUCUAAUGCAGUCGGGGGAUGACGGUACCGGAAGAAUAAGCACCGGCUAACUACGUGCCAGCAGCCGCGGUAAUACGUAGGGUGCAAGCGUUAAUCGGAAUUACUGGGCGUAAAGCGUGCGCAGGCGGUUUGCUAAGACCGAUGUGAAAUCCCCGGGCUCAACCUGGGAACUGCAUUGGUGACUGGCAGGCUAGAGUAUGGCAGAGGGGGGUAGAAUUCCACGUGUAGCAGUGAAAUGCGUAGAGAUGUGGAGGAAUACCGAUGGCGAAGGCAGCCCCCUGGGCCAAUACUGACGCUCAUGCACGAAAGCGUGGGGAGCAAACAGGAUUAGAUACCCUGGUAGUCCACGCCCUAAACGAUGUCAACUAGUUGUUGGGGAUUCAUUUCCUUAGUAACGUAGCUAACGCGUGAAGUUGA
Molecule: ribosomal RNA, 520 nt
Filed under: uncultured bacterium
Lineage: Bacteria
Description: partial 16S ribosomal RNA
Rfam family: Bacterial small subunit ribosomal RNA
Source: RNAcentral